ACAUCAUCUGCAGUAGGACGGGGGAGUUGGAGCCCUGGUCAGGCCACUCUGCUACUGACCACAGUUUUCUCAUCUCUAAAAAGGCGCAGUAACAAUAUAAUUACCGUAUGCAGUCCCCCAGGAUACAGGGUCAAAGGAGAGCACAACCAUCGCAGUUGGAAGCCCAUGGGGCAGGGCCCAGGACACAGUGAGCAUACAAUAGACAUUAGCUGCUGUGGUGUCUUGAUUUCAAGCCCAGUGCAGAUGCAUCUGACUUACGAAACUUCAGUGACACCUGCUCUGUGCCAGACACUGAAGAUGGAGCAGUGAACAGCACUGACCCAGCCUGUCCUCCUGUUGCCUGCAGGCCAGGUUCCCAGUCCCUGAUUUCUGGCCACUCCGCCUUUCUUGGCACCCGAGCUCUGUGAGGGCAAGACUUUGUUCGGUUGUGGGCUAUGCCCCCAACCCCUCGGACAGUGCCUGCACAGGUGGACAUUUUUGUUGGAUGAAGGAUUUUCUGUUAAAUGUGUCUGGCACACACAGAAAAACAAAGCCCAGCAGAUGCCGUUCCAUUGUUUGCUGACUUUCAUUGAUUCUAUGAGAAGUCUGCAGUCUUUUGCAGCGUUGUUUUCCUAUGUAUAAUUGUCUCCUCCCACCCCACUCACCCCAGCUGCUUUCCACAUUCUCUCUCUUUGAUUUUCAGCAGUCUGCCCAUGAUGUGCCUAAAUAGGACUUUCUUUGCAUUCAUCUUGGCUGGGGCUCACUGAACUUUCUGAAUCUGUAGAUUAAUUUUCUUUUUUCAAUAAACCUUGGAAUAUUUUCAGCAUAA
Long non-coding RNA from Homo sapiens (human), 808 nucleotides. Ensembl annotates it as long intergenic non-protein coding RNA 963. Lineage: Eukaryota; Metazoa; Chordata; Mammalia; Primates; Hominidae. The record is from Ensembl.